RNAcentral lists this long non-coding RNA (2703 nucleotides) under Manihot esculenta (cassava). RNAcentral's name for it is "long non-coding RNA (MESC_LNC002779)". Lineage: Eukaryota; Viridiplantae; Streptophyta; Magnoliopsida; Malpighiales; Euphorbiaceae. The record is from RNAcentral.
CAGAUGUUUCAUGCUGUCCUUUAAGAGAUGAGAGAUUCCCCUUCACCUUAGAUUCUUUUCUCAAUCUUUCUUCCUCGGAUUCCUAGCACAUCAGAAUGAAGGGUCGGAAUGUAACUUCAGUACUUUCAUAAAAGGAGCCACUCAAACUAGCAAACAGAAAUCUUACAGUGUCUCGGCUAGGGCAGAGCAAAUAUCAAAAAACUGAAAAACCAAAAUGUUAAUUAUUAUUAAACUAAACCAAACCGUUUUUAUAGGAUAAAUGAAGCAAAUCAAACCGAAAUAUAUCACUUUGGUUCGGUUAUAAACCGUUGCUUAUGGAAGCCCAAAUUAGCGAAUUCAACAUAAAAAAUUUCACAUAUUACACUCAAAAUCUCAGCAUUCGCAUUUCACAACCACAAUCAAAAUGGCAAUCACAGAUAAACAGUUCCAACAGUUCCAAAAUGGCAAUCACAAUCACCAUCACAGAAAGCAAGGGGAGAAGACCCAUAAAGCUUUAAAGUUUAAAGGGGCAAUAAGGAACCAGGGCAUGCAUGUGCCAUCUUCAUCACAUGCAGAUCCAUAUUCAUAAGACUAUACAAUCGGUGAAGAACCGAGGCCAACUGCCAAGGCAAUGAAGGCCAAACUGUUGGUUGAAGUGAAGGCAUGAGGGUGAGGGCUGAGGGUCAAGGCCCCGCUCAACUGAGGGGAAAGGGAAGACGGUCAUGUACUGCACUCACAUUUAGAGGAAGAGAAACGGGAUUGGGAGCUGAAAGCAUGUGUCCGUAUUCUAUCUAGCUGCUGGAGGCGAGAAAAGUAAAGGAAAAUUAGGGUUAAAAGGUUUAGGUGUUAUAUAGUCAGCCAAAACCCCCAAAAUGACACUAUGCUUUUGGUUCGGUUGAGUUCAUCAUUUUGGUUUUUCAACUGAAUUAACGAAACCGAAAAAACCAAAUUGAUUUGUGUGGGUUGUCAGUUAUAACCAAAAACUGUCGCCCUAGCUUCAGCAGCAUCUUUUGCAGCUCUAAAGCGCCGAGACCAUUGUUGAUUUAUUUUAGCUUUAGGUGGAACCCCAUCUAUAAAAUUCAAAGGUGACAUUCCUGCCAGUGCAUUAGACUAUGAUGCCAUCUUAAUGCCAAUCCUAUGUUGAUUUAAGACCAUAUCUACAACAAAAGUACACAUUUCUCCACAAUGAAAUCAUAAAUUACACUUAAAAAAAUCAGCUUCUUUACCUGUAGUUUGACAUAUUGACAACCACAGGAGAAGACACUUUACUAAAGGUACAUCAAUGGCAAGUAACCUCGAGGGCGUAAGUGACAUCUCCAUAGCUAGGCAUAGAAGAGGUGGCAAUUAUGCCAUUUUAUCCCAUAAUUAAAUAUUUGCAUACAUGGGCUAUAAGCUUUGCAGCUUUACUGCAUAUCUAUAAAUAGUUUCUUCUUCCCACACAUCUCUUACUCUUCCCUGUCUAUUGACUCUUUCCAUCCAACUAAUUUCUCCAACUUCAAACUACUUUUGUGAGUAAAAAGCCUUUAUUAUUUCUCUUCUAUGUUGCCAUAUCAUCACAAAGAUAUUAACUUCUAAAUUCUGAAAUCUGUUUAUCUAUACUUUGCAGGAAAUGAUUUCCUUGGAAUUUAUCUGAUAACCCUUCUAGCCACACCAAAAGAGUUCAUGGAUAUGCAGGUGGAUAGUCGGAUGCACAUGCUACUUUCUAUGGAGGUGAUGAUGCUUCUGGUACAGUGGUAAGAACUAAAAAGCAAACACAAUCAAAACCUGUGAACAAGCAUUCCUUACUGUAUAGUUUUUGGCUCAAGCAAUUUUUGGGUAACAUAGAAGAGAAAUAAUGAAGGAUUUAUGUUUACACAAGUAGUUUGGAUAUAAGAGAAAUCAGGAAAAGGAAGGAGUCAAAGACAGGGAAGGGUAAGGCACAUAUGGGAGGAGGAAGCUGUAUUUAUAAAUGUGCAAAAAGGAAAUUAAGCAGUAUGCUGCAAAAAUUAUUCCCACGUGUGCAAGAUUAAAUUACGGGAAAAAAAGCCUAAUUGACACCUCUCUGAUGCCUUGAAUUUUAUGGAGUUGUCACUUUGCCGCCUGAUUAAAAAGGAAAACUUGAAAAGGGUAUCUUGAUUUUAAGAAAAGAAGGACAUGCAUGCUUCAAAAAGUAUUAGAUAAGCAAAAGGAGCUGUUCUCCAACCAAUAUAGAGCCUUAACUCUAUUGCUUGACAUUAUAGUUUAAAACAAGCACUCGUAACUGAAAUCAAAAUACUAUCAACAAGAACUCCAAUAAGAAAUGAAUCAUCUGAGACAAACCAGAGCUGCAGAACUAGGUGAUCUUUCUGCAAAUUCUCAAGUUCCUUCAAACUACACUUGGAAGAGAAAUGAAUCAUCUGAGAAAAAUAUGCAAUGUAAGAAGUAGGUGGAUCUUUCUGCAAAUACUUAAGUUCCUUCAAAAUACGCUUGGAAGCCAUGAUGUUUCAAUCAGGGAGCUGAAAAUACUGCAGAUAAAUUGUAGAAGCUGAGAAAGAGCAAUUAAAAUCCUACAAAAAUUAAAAGAGAUCUACAACUAAAUAAGACCAAGCAGUCAGAACCCAAAAAAAGAAAAAAAAACACAGAAACAGAGAUAAAGAGAGCAAAUAAAAAGAUAUUAGAGAAAAGUGAGCACCUGAAAAUGAAAAUUAUGGUUUGUAAGGGGUAAUCAGGGUAUGUAUAAUAAAAGUGUAUCAGGGUGUCUGUCUA